Long non-coding RNA from Biomphalaria glabrata, 1172 nucleotides. RefSeq lists it as uncharacterized. NCBI's taxonomy places the organism in Eukaryota, Metazoa, Mollusca, Gastropoda, Planorbidae. The record is from RefSeq and is a predicted model, not a curated record. The transcript has 5 exons.
AGAGAGGGUUCGCGCUCUCAUGCUGUUUUUACAGUUAAAAUAGAGUCAAAGGAGGAAGUCCUCAGCCCCCUGGAUGACAAAGUGGUCAUCAUCGAACCACGAUGGACGAACUAAAUAUAUAUACUAGGAGGAAGUAGGUGGUUUCCAAAAAAGCAAUAUAUCACAGAUAAAUCUAAUUGAUCUGGCAGGAUCAGAGAGACAGAAAGCUACCAGGAGAUCAUGGGAAAGCAUGGACUAGGUGGAACAAAAAUGGAGAAAGAUUUGAAGAUAUGUGUGCCACAAGCAAAUUGGUGAUAGGAGUAACUGUCUUCCCACACAAACGAAUAAACAAGGCAACAGACCAUGUCUGUAUUGUGAAGAAGUUCUGUCAAUCUCUUCAGGAUGAACGUGUCAGACAAGGAGCAGUUGUUGCUUCAGAUCAUCAUCUUCUGAUCGCCAGAGUGAGACUGAAGCUGAAGAAGAGUUGGACUGGAGUGUCCAGCCAAUGCCAACACUACAGCACCAUUGUUAUGAAAGAUGGCGAAAAUGAUCUCCAAAAAUAGAGGAUUUCAAUCUUUCUUUCAAAGAUUAUCAAAAAAUCUUUUUACAGGAGGAUUCAUUUAAGAAAUUGUAUGCUGUCAUUAGUAAACUUCAACAAGAAAAUCAAAACUUGCUGGAAAAGUUGAACUUUAUGAAUCACUUAGAGUUUAAGGACCACAGCUGCUCCAAGCCCCCAGCAGUAGACUGCAUCAGUGAAGGAGAAGAGGAGGAGGAAAGCAAUUUAUCUUGAACAACUGAAAAAAAGAGACAUUGACAUCCAGACAGACAUGAACACUGCAAAUGGUUUAGAUGAGAUAAGAAAAUGUGCGAUGGAUAAGCUUGAAAUCAGUCAAGAUAGGAAAAGCAUGGACCUAGUGAAGCAAGACGAAAUGUGUUCAACAGAAUAAUGACCAGCCGAAACUUGAAGAAGAACUUUUUAAAAGAUAAGCUGGAUGAAUUGAUCUCUAAAGAGAAAUCGCUGUCACGACAAAGGGAUAGUAAAACAGACAUAGAGAAAAAAGUAUUGGAAAGUAAGGCCCGAGAGCUUGAGGAGAAACUCCUGGUAAUAAGCCCCCAGAGGAUAUUCCAGCUACCCGUCGCUUCAGCGUGGCCCUCCGGUGGAAACAUCCAGAGGUGGAUCUGGACAGGCUAAG